AUGCUCAUUUUAAUAGUCUAUGUACUAAAAUUGGAGUGAUGCAAAGAUUAGCAUGGCUCCUGCACAAGGAUAACAUGAAUUUUGCUCCAUAUUUUAUUUUAUUUU
Small nuclear RNA from Talpa occidentalis (Iberian mole), 105 nucleotides. The record is from RefSeq and is a predicted model, not a curated record. NCBI's taxonomy places the organism in Eukaryota, Metazoa, Chordata, Mammalia, Eulipotyphla, Talpidae.